AAGGUAUGCAAGUCGAACGAUCCCUUUCUGAUUUCUAGUAACUUCGGUUGCUAGUUUUCUAUCUGGGAUAGUGGCAAACGGGUGAGUAACACGUAGAUAACUUGCCUCGAAGUCGGGAAUAGCUCGUCGAAAGACGGGGUAAUAUCCGAUGGUCUCUAACCACUUCGUGUGUUUUAGAGUAAAGCUUUUGUGCUUCGAGAGAGGUCUGCGUCCUAUCAGCUAGUUGGUAAGGUAAUGGCUUACCAAGGCUAAGACGGGUAGCUGGUGUGAGAGCACGGUCAGCCACCAUGGAACUGAGACACGGUCCAUACUCCUACGGGAGGCAGCAAUUAGGAAUCUUGCGCAAUGGGGGCAACCCUGACGCAGCGACACAGCGUGGAGGAUGAAGGUCUUCGGAUUGUAAACUCCUUUUAUAUGGGAAGAAUAGAUGACUGUACCAUAUGAAUAAGGACCUGCUAACUACGUGCCAGAAGCAUCGGUGAUGCGUAGGGUCCGAACGUUAUCCGGAUUUAUUGGGUGUAUAGAGAUGCGUAGGCGGUUUGAUAAGUCUUGAGUUAAAGACCUCGGCUCAACCGAGGAAAAGCUUUCGAUACUAUCAGACUUGAGGCAUAGAGGGGUGAACGGAAUUCCGAGUGGAGUGGUGAAAUACGUUGAUAUUCGGAGGAACAUCAGUGGCGAAGGCGGUUCACUGGCUAUUGCCUGACGCUCAGGCUCGAAAGCGUGGGUAGCAAAACGGAUUAGAUACCCGUGUAGUCCACGCUGUAAACUAUGGAUGCUAGGUGUUCGGUACAACUGUUUUUAAUCUUCGGAUUUUAAACGGGAGUGCUGAGUGCCGCAGCUAACGCGUUAAGCAUCCCACCUGGGAAGUACGGCCGCAAGGNU
Molecule: ribosomal RNA, 882 nt
Filed under: uncultured candidate division WS6 bacterium
Lineage: Bacteria
Description: bacterial SSU rRNA
Rfam family: Bacterial small subunit ribosomal RNA
Source: RNAcentral